UACGGGGGGGCAAGCGUUGUUCGGAAUUACUGGGCGUAAAGGGCUUGUAGGUGGCCAACUAAGUCAGACGUGAAAUCCCUCAGCUUAACUGGGGAACUGCGUCUGAUACUGGAUGGCUUGAGUUUGGGAGAGGGAUGCGGAAUUCCAGGUGUAGCGGUGAAAUGCGUAGAUAUCUGGAGGAACACCGGUGGCGAAGGCGGCAUCCUGGACCAACACUGACACUGAGGAGCGAAAGCCAGGGGAGCAAACGGG
Molecule: ribosomal RNA, 252 nt
Filed under: uncultured bacterium
Lineage: Bacteria
Description: partial 16S ribosomal RNA
Rfam family: Bacterial small subunit ribosomal RNA
Source: RNAcentral